UACGGGGGGGGCAAGCGUUGUUCGGAAUUACUGGGCGUAAAGGGCUCGUAGGUGGCCAACUAAGUCAGACGUGAAAUCCCUCAGCUUAACUGGGGAACUGCGUCUGAUACUGGAUGGCUUGGAUUCGGGAGAGGAAUGCGGAAUUCCAGGUGUAGCGGUGAAAUGCGUAGAUAUCUGGAGGAACACCGGUGGCGAAGGCGGCUCACUGGCCCGGUACUGACGCUGAGGUGCGAAAGCGUGGGGAGCAAACAGG
Molecule: ribosomal RNA, 253 nt
Filed under: uncultured bacterium
Lineage: Bacteria
Description: partial 16S ribosomal RNA
Rfam family: Bacterial small subunit ribosomal RNA
Source: RNAcentral